RNAcentral lists this ribosomal RNA (373 nucleotides) under uncultured bacterium. RNAcentral's name for it is "bacterial SSU rRNA". It matches the Rfam family "Bacterial small subunit ribosomal RNA", at positions 95 to 467 of the family's 1533-position model. The record is from RNAcentral.
GUGGCGCACGGGUGCGUAACGCGUAUGCAACCUACCUUAAUCAGGGGGAUAGCCCGAAGAAAUUCGGAUUAACACCGCAUAAAAACACAGAAUAGCAUUAUUCAAUGUUCAAAUAUUUAUAGGAUUAAGAUGGGCAUGCGUGUCAUUAGCUAGUUGGCGGGGUAACGGCCCACCAAGGCGACGAUGACUAGGGGAUCUGAGAGGAUGACCCCCCACACUGGUACUGAGACACGGACCAGACUCCUACGGGAGGCAGCAGUAAGGAAUAUUGGUCAAUGGAGGCAACCCUGAACCAGCCAUGCCGCGUGCAGGAAGACGGCCCUAUGGGUUGUAAACUGCUUUUAUCUGGGAAUAAACCUUUUUACGUGUAAGA